Molecule: transfer RNA, 24 nt
Filed under: Micrococcus luteus
Lineage: Bacteria; Bacillati; Actinomycetota; Actinomycetes; Micrococcales; Micrococcaceae
Description: tRNA-Ala
Source: RNAcentral
AGCGUCUGGUUGUGGUCCAGAAGG